UACGUAGGGUGCGAGCGUUAAUCGGAAUUACUGGGCGUAAAGCGUGCGCAGGCGGUCUGCUAAGAGAGAUGUGAAAUCCCCGGGCUUAACCUGGGAACUGCGUUUCUAACUGGCAGGCUAGAGUGUGGCAGAGGGGGGUGGAAUUCCACGUGUAGCAGUGAAAUGCGUAGAGAUGUGGAGGAACACCGAUGGCGAAGGCAGCCCCCUGGGCUAACACUGACGCUCAUGCACGAAAGCGUGGGGAGCAAACAGG
RNAcentral lists this ribosomal RNA (253 nucleotides) under uncultured bacterium. RNAcentral describes it as "partial 16S ribosomal RNA". It matches the Rfam family "Bacterial small subunit ribosomal RNA", at positions 524 to 776 of the family's 1533-position model. The record is from RNAcentral.